GACGAACGCUGGCGGCGUGCUUAACACAUGCAAGUCGAACGGAAAGGCCCUGCUUUUGUGGGGUGCUCGAGUGGCGAACGGGUGAGUAACACGUGAGUAACCUGCCCUUGACUUUGGGAUAACUUCAGGAAACUGGGGCUAAUACCGGAUAGGAGCUCCUGCUGCAUGGUGGGGGUUGGAAAGUUUCGGCGGUUGGGGAUGGACUCGCGGCUUAUCAGCUUGUUGGUGGGGUAGUGGCUUACCAAGGCUUUGACGGGUAGCCGGCCUGAGAGGGUGAACGGCCACAUUGGGACUGAGAGACGGCCCAGACUCCUACGGGAGGCAGCAGUGGGGAAUAUUGCACAAUGGGCGGAAGCCUGAUGCAGCAACGCCGGGUGCGGGAUGACGGCCUUCGGGUUGUAAACCGCUUUCGCCUGUGACGAAGCGUGAGUGACGGUAAUGGGUAAAGAAGCACCGGCUAACUACGUG
Molecule: ribosomal RNA, 468 nt
Filed under: uncultured bacterium
Lineage: Bacteria
Description: partial 16S ribosomal RNA
Rfam family: Bacterial small subunit ribosomal RNA
Source: RNAcentral